This 253-nucleotide ribosomal RNA is filed under the name uncultured bacterium. RNAcentral describes it as "partial 16S ribosomal RNA". It matches the Rfam family "Bacterial small subunit ribosomal RNA", at positions 524 to 776 of the family's 1533-position model. The record is from RNAcentral.
UACGGAGGGUGCGAGCGUUGUCCGGAAUCACUGGGCGUAAAGGGCGCGUAGGCGGCGCGGAUAGUCGGCGGUGAAAGCCCGGAGCUCAACUCCGGGUCGGCCGUCGAUACUUCCGGGCUUGAGCACUGUAGAGGCAGAUGGAAUUCCGGGUGUAGCGGUGAAAUGCGUAGAUAUCAGGAGGAACACCUGCGGUGUAGACGGCUUACUGGACCAUCACUGACGCUGAGGCACGAAAGCGUGGGUAGCAAACAGG